Long non-coding RNA from Acinonyx jubatus (cheetah), 4832 nucleotides. RefSeq lists it as uncharacterized. NCBI's taxonomy places the organism in Eukaryota, Metazoa, Chordata, Mammalia, Carnivora, Felidae. The transcript is spliced from 4 exons. The record is from RefSeq and is a predicted model, not a curated record.
GGGCAGAGAGAGAAGGAGACACAGAGUCCAAAGCAGGCUCCAGGCUUCGAGCCAUCAGCACAGAGCCUGACAUGGCUCAAACACAAACAGUGAGAUCAUGACCUGAGCCGAAGUCGGAUGCUUAACCGAUUGAGCCACCCAGGCGCCCCUAGUGUUAAGGAAUGUUCUUAGGCAAGACUGGGCCACCCCAGAGAAGGAUUAUGAAAAAGUCGACACAGAGUCUAUGGACUGUGAGAUAUCAUGCUGCUUGUUCCUGACCAUUAGUCAGAAUUUCCUUCCUUUCUAAGACUGAACGAUAUUUCACUGUAGUAAGUUGGAUUAAUUCAAGAACAAGCCUUCUGAGCUCAGUUGAUUCGAGAACGAUCACCCAUUGGAGAGUUGCGCUGCACAAGAAAGACUUCUUCACGUUGCCCCAGUACUCUGCUUUGAAGAUAUGCACAGUAAGGCACCAAGGGGACCAGUGGGACAUGCGUGCAAAUCCAAGUCUACCAACUCUCAAAAGAAAACUUUCCCGACUACAGAGGAGUGUCUUUGUAGAGAUUAAAAGAUAGCGUACAUCCCUAGGUGGAUAUACUUGCAUCUUUACAUGUGUAUGUAAAACAAAUAUAAGUUUCACAUUGCUUCCCACCUACCCACUGUCUUUUCCUUGUAAUGCUUUCCUUUGAGCAAAAAGUUAAACUUCAAGGGCACCUGAAGUUAAGCUUCUGACUCUUGAUUUCGGCUCAGGUCAUGAUCUCACGGUUUGUGCGUUCCAGCCUCGCAUCCGUCUUGACUCAGUGCCAUUGUUGUGAGAUCAUAUCCUAACAGCCACACAAUCAAUGCUUGGGGUUCCCUCUCUCCCUCUCUCUCUGCCCCUCCUCCACUCAAGCUCUCUGUCUCUCUCAAAAGAAAUAAUAAACUUAAGAAAAGUUUAACUUCUCAGUGUGUUUUCAUUCUAUGAUUAUUAACGAUUGACUGCUGUCAGGUCAAUUUAUGUAUUUGCCAAAUCAAUGGCAAGUUUAAACAAGCUUAAGAAGUUUGGGAACUGUCUGUAAGGUAGGUUCCAUUUUCCCACCGGCCCACUAAAUAUCUCGUCAUUGACAUUAUCGGAGAUUCCAGCCUAGUGAUAGAGAAAAACAUUUGAUUGGAUUCAAAAAGCAGGAAUGGAAGUGUGUGUGUGUGUGUGUGUGUGUGUGUGUGUGUGUGUUUAACAGUGUUAUUUUAGAGCAGUUUAAGGUUCACUGCAAAACUGAGAGGAGGAGACAGAGGUGUGUGGGGACAGGCACAGCCUCCCCCGUUAUCACUGUCCCCCACCAUGGUGGUACAUUAUUACAGUUGGUGAACCCGUAGUGAUACACCAUUACCCAAAGUCCAUAGUUAACUCUUGGUGGUGCACAUUCUACGGGUUUGAACAGAUGACACGUGAAUGUAUAACGUGUGGUGAGGAUGGCAGUAUGGGUUGUUUCUCCUUGGUGCCCUCUUUUUGUUUAUUGCCUGAGGUGACAAAACGCAGGUCUAGCAUCCAGUUACCCUGCAUGGAGAGCUAGCGAUUUCUGAGAUGCAAGAGUUAGCUGGGAAAACUACCGUCUUGUAGAGUUGGGUCAAUUCUUCCUACUUCUAAGAUGUGGCUGUCAGCUCUGCUGUGUGAGUGUGUGUGAGUGUGUGUGUGUGUGUGUGUGUGUGUGUGUUGUGGUAGUUUAUGCUUUCUGAUGUCUUUUCUUGAACGAGUAGUUUCCUUCUUGGGGGUGGAUGGAAUGUCUUCCGCCAACACUUAGGGCAGAUUACAUUUCCCCCUUAGUCCAACUCUGCUUACAACUGCCCUUGAACUAUUCGGUUACCACACUAGUGGCAUCAGAGCAAAUGCUCCUUGCUGAGAUGAAACCAGGCAUGAAAUAGGGUGGUGACUGGUUAAGAAACUGAAAUGAGUUUUGGUUCAAGGUGAGAAUUCACAGGCCUUGGUCCAGUGAGCCAUGUUUCCCAUGCUUACAUAUCUGUGAAACAGCUGUUAUAAAUUGAAACUCUGAGAAGUUUUCUCAGCAAAAUUGAAGAUUAAAAAAAAAGUCCAACUCUCCCUCCCCCCUCUUCUGUUGACAUAGCAUCUACCACAUUCCUCACAGCUACCUUUCCUCCUUGACUUGAGUACUCUGUGACACUCCCGUGUCCCUAAGAGCCAACUUCGUGGUCCUUGAAAUUCGGCCGCCAUUUUGAACACGGACUUUUAGAAAUAAUUUCUAAAAGAGGAAAUGUUGUAUACCUUUGUAGCUUGAUCAUUGAACUUGAAGUUCAUGAGCCUUACUCCUAUCAAUUUUUUUAACGUUUAUUUUUGAGACAGAGAGAGACAGAGCAUGAACGGGGGAGGGGCAGAGAGAGAGGGAGACACAGAAUCGGAAGCAGGAUCCAGGCUCCGAGCUGUCAGCACAGAGCCCAACGCGGGGCUCGAACUCACGGACCGCGAGAUCAUGUGCUGAGCCGAAGUCGGAUGCUUAACCGACUGAACCACCCAGGCGCCCUGAUAUAGUUUAUAAAUCAUUUCAGUUCUUCAUUUGUAUCACCCUUUUGCCUUUUCCUUCUGCCAUUUUCUUCUAUUUUCUACUUGAUUGCCUUCCUGCUCUUUAUGUCGUUUCUAUUUUUUUUCCUCAGCAUCUCGUGUUUAUAUUUCUCCCUGGGGUAUUUUUUCAAUUUUUUUCUUUUCACCUUUUUUUUUUUUACUUUUUAAUUUUAUUUUUAUCUUUUCCCUUAAUUUUAGUGACUAUCUGUUAUGCAACUAGUUCAGACUGAGGAGUGAGCUAGGUACCUGAGGAAUAUAAUGAAAGACUCUGCCCUUCAAGAAAAUUGGCUCCUUCAUAAAAUCUGGCAUGUCUCCCUUAAAUAACUAUAGUAGAAAACCAAGUUAUUUUUCCCGGCUUUGUCUUACUGUUCCUCAUUAACUGAAAAAGAGCCAAUUGAAUAUAUUUUUUAUUAUAAGGAACAGAAAAUAUAAUUUAAAUGUUUUCUUUUUCUUUUUUUUACCUUUAUAUGGUACCCAAUUGGUUUUCUGCCUUUUACAUCAAUGAGCCUUGGUGGAAAGAAACAGUUUCUCCAUCUCUGCAUAACUCCCUUUGUUUUGGCACAAGAAAGAUGUUAAGAAUAAAGGCCAGGUGUUGCAGAGACCCUCUCGAUUUAUACAUCUUCUCAUUAAGCCAUGCCAUACGGUCAGCUUAUAUUCAGACACCCGAUGGUCUUUCUAAUCGUGAAGUGUAUAAACCAGGGGUCCUCAAACUUGAGCCUACGCAGAAUCACCUGGAGGGGUUGCUGAAGCACGCAUUCCUGGCUCACCCCCCCUCUGAGUGUCUGAUUCAGCAAAUCUGGGGUGGAACCUGAGAAUUUGCUUUUCCAUCAAGGUCAAGUGGUGCUGCCACUGCUGGUUUGGGGACCACACCUUGAGGAUCACUGCACUGAGUUGAAUUUCAGAAGGUUACAAGACAGGUGAGUCAGUAGGGGGUUGGUGGAGGGUCUAUUCACCUAUUCUCAGUAUUUGGGUUCUGAGCGGUGAACCUUAUUAUUUUCUUGAUCAGGUUUAUUCCUAGAUAUUUUAUUCUUUUUGGUAAUUUGGCAAUUGUACAUGGGAUUGUUUUCUUAAUUUCUGUCUCUGUGACUUUGUUAUUAGUGUGUAGAGAUGCAAUCGAUUUCUGCAGGUUAAUUUUUUAUCCUGUAACUUCACUGAGUUUAUUUAUCAGUUUCCUCUAGUUUUUGGAUGGAGUCUUCAGGGUUUUCUCUAUGUGGCAUCAUGACAUCUGCACAUAGUGAAAGCUUUUGUCCUUCUUUACCGAUUUGGAUGCCUCUGCUUUCUUUUUCUUGUCUGAUAUCUAUGGCGAAGAUUCUAGUACUGUGUUGACUAGCAGUGGUGAGAAGAGCCUUGUCUUGUUCCUGAUCUUAGAGGAAAAACUCUCAGAUUUUCACCAUGGAGCAUGAUGUUAGCUGUGGAUUUUUCAUUAUGUGGUCUUUAUUACGUGGAGGUAUGUUCCCUCUAAGCCUCCUUUGUGGAGAGUUUUUGUCAUGAAUGGAUGUUAAAGUAAACCUUUAAAUCAAUGUAUCAUGUAAUACAUUGUUCUUAUUUCAAUGUUCUUCCGCUAUGAGUGAAGAAUAUGAUUAUUCUCAACCGUCAGAACUUCCAUCCCUGGUAUGGAUCCCAAGGGCAGGAGGACCCCCGCUUAGAUGCUGCUUAGCGUUUGCACGCUUCUCUCCAACCAGGUCACGUGCCACUACACAGAUUUGAGGUCAACUCUGACAAUAUUGUUUUUCUAAGCAAAGGAGCAAAAACACGAGCGUGACUCAGAUUAUAAAAUGUUGAUUUUGAAGACCUCCGGCUCUUACUGUUUUUGUAAUGUAAAGAAAUCUAAUCCUCUCAAACUGCCCUGCUGUGCUGUCCCUUGACGUCAUGUUUGUCUGGGCUUUGGAUUCAACGUUAAGAUCAUGGUUUCAAACAAAAAGAGAACGGCCCUUUUAAAAGUCAGAGUUUCUUUUAGACCCAGGCUGAGGACCGGCCAGCCACUGGGGGCAUGGACGUACAUCCCUGUGCACGCGUGGAUGGCGUGCACACGUCUGCCAAGGCACGUGUGCAAGCAGGACUAGAGACCUCUGGUGCGACCCAACUCACAAAGCAUCCCAAUACCUUACUGUUCAAGAUUCCUGAGGGUUAGGGCACCUGGGUGGCUCGGUUGGUUAAGCCUCCGACUUGGGCUCAGGCCAUAAUCUCUCAUUCCUGAGUUGGAGCCCCGCGUUGAGCUCUGUUCUGACAGCCCAGAGCCUGGAGCCUGCUUUGGAUUCUGUGUCUCCCUUCCUCUCUGCCUCUCUCUCUCUCUCUCUCUCUCUCC